RNAcentral lists this ribosomal RNA (331 nucleotides) under uncultured eukaryote. Its description in RNAcentral is "partial 18S ribosomal RNA". It matches the Rfam family "Eukaryotic small subunit ribosomal RNA", at positions 1470 to 1796 of the family's 1831-position model. The record is from RNAcentral.
CCCUUAGAUGUUCUGGGCCGCACGCGCGCUACACUGACGAAGUCAGCGAGCAUGUCCUACGCCGACAGGUGCGGGGAAUCUUGUCAAACUUCGUCGUGAUGGGGAUUGAUUAUUGAAAUUCUUGAUCAUCAACGAGGAAUUCCUAGUAAGCGCAAGUCAGCAGCUUGCGUUGAUUACGUCCCUGCCCUUUGUACACACCGCCCGUCGCUACUACCGAUUGCAUGGUUUAGUGAGAUCUUCGGAUUGGCGCCACUGCGGCUCAGCAAUGGGCUCGGUGGAUGCCGAAAAGUUGAUCAAACUUGAUCAUUUAGAGGAAGUAAAAGUCGUAACA